Molecule: ribosomal RNA, 485 nt
Filed under: uncultured bacterium
Lineage: Bacteria
Description: bacterial SSU rRNA
Rfam family: Bacterial small subunit ribosomal RNA
Source: RNAcentral
GAUCCUGGCUUAGGACGAACGCUGGCGGCGUGCCUAACACAUGCAAGUCGAGCGAUGAAACCCUUCGGGGUGGAUUAGCGGCGGACGGGUGAGUAACACGUGGGUAACCUGCCUCAAAGAGGGGGAUAGCCUCCCGAAAGGGAGAUUAAUACCGCAUAACAUUAUUUCUUCGCAUGAAGAGAUAAUCAAAGGAGUAAUCCGCUUUGAGAUGGACCCGCGGCGCAUUAGCUAGUUGGUGAGGUAAUGGCUCACCAAGGCAACGAUGCGUAGCCGACCUGAGAGGGUGAUCGGCCACAUUGGAACUGAGAUACGGUCCAGACUCCUACGGGAGGCAGCAGUGGGGAAUAUUGCGCAAUGGGGGAAACCCUGACGCAAGCAACGCCGCGUGGGUGAAGAAGGCCUUCGGGUUGUAAAGCUCUGUCUUCUGGGACGAUAAUGACGGUACCAGAGGAGGAAGCCACGGCUAACUACGUGCCAGCAGCUGC